RNAcentral lists this ribosomal RNA (274 nucleotides) under uncultured bacterium. RNAcentral's name for it is "partial 16S ribosomal RNA". It matches the Rfam family "Bacterial small subunit ribosomal RNA", at positions 523 to 796 of the family's 1533-position model. The record is from RNAcentral.
AUACGGAGGGUGCAAACGUUGUUCGGAAUCACUGGGCGUAAAGGGCGCGCAGGCGGUUUGAUUAGUCAGAUGUGAAAGCCCACGGCUUAACCGUGGAAGUGCAUUUGAAACUGUCAGACUUGAGUACCAGAGGGGGUAGUGGAAUUCCCGGUGUAGAGGUAAAAUUCGUAGAUAUCGGGAGGAAUACCGGUGGCGAAGGCGACUACCUGGCUGGAUACUGACGCUGAGGCGCGAAAGCGUGGGGAGCAAACAGGAUUAGAAACCCCAGUAGUCC